CGCUUCUCCCCGAAGUCAGUACAACUUCAUCGCAGAUGUGGUGGAGAAGACAGCACCUGCCGUGGUCUAUAUCGAGAUCCUGGACCGGCACCCUUUCUUGGGCCGCGAAGUCCCUAUCUCGAACGGCUCAGGAUUCGUGGUGGCUGCCGAUGGGCUCAUUGUCACCAACGCCCAUGUGGUGGCUGAUCGGCGCAGAGUCCGUGUGAGACUGCUUAGCGGCGACACGUAUGAGGCCGUGGUCACAGCUGUGGAUCCCGUGGCAGACAUCGCAACGCUGAGGAUUCAGACUAAGGAGCCUCUCCCCACGCUGCCUCUGGGACGCUCAGCGGAUGUCCGGCAAGGGGAGUUUGUUGUUGCCAUGGGAAGUCCCUUUGCACUGCAGAACACGAUCACAUCCGGCAUUGUUAGCUCUGCUCAGCGUCCAGCCAGAGACCUGGGACUCCCCCAAACCAAUGUGGAAUACAUUCAGACUGAUGCAGCUAUUGAUGUGCGUCCUGAUAAGAGAGAAAUGACAAAUGAUGGGGGAGGGGGAGAGGCUGUGGUACAAGCACCAGCUGAUAUAUGGUGGAUGAGCCUAUAUAGAGCUUAGGCUGCAAAAAUGUGGCCACUCAUUCAUGGGCUGAGAAAGAAUUUGCAGAAAGUACCUACAUCCUGGUAUGCCCCCAGACUUAGAAUCCCCAGAUCUCUUUCAUGUUUUCUCCUUGUCCUACAGUUUGGAAACUCUGGAGGUCCCCUGG
Molecule: small RNA, 737 nt
Filed under: Pongo abelii (Sumatran orangutan)
Lineage: Eukaryota; Metazoa; Chordata; Mammalia; Primates; Hominidae
Description: retained intron
Source: RNAcentral